CCCGACCCUGAUGCUGUGGUUGCCCCCCUGGGGCUCCCUGAGGGACUCCGUCCGUCAGGCUUCUAGCCUGGGAAAGGACGAUCUUGAAGCCUCCAAUAAACUUGAAACUUAUCCAGCUCCUCUCCUCCCCAAACUUCUGAAGGAGCAACUUUUAUUCAAUGUCGACCUGAGCCCUCUCAACCCUAUCGGUAUUUUUUCUUUCUCAAGUC
RNAcentral lists this long non-coding RNA (209 nucleotides) under Elaeis guineensis (African oil palm). RNAcentral describes it as "long non-coding RNA (EGUI_LNC043135)". Lineage: Eukaryota; Viridiplantae; Streptophyta; Magnoliopsida; Arecales; Arecaceae. The record is from RNAcentral.